CUCCAAAUAGCUAGCCCAACCACUAAAACCAACAAACCUAUAUAAUCUAACCCCGGAGGUAACACCCGAAACUACUCAAACCAUUUUUCCCCCUUAGUAUGGGAGACAGAAAAGGACGCAGGAGCUAUAACGAAAGUACCGCAAGGGAACGCUGAAAGAGAAGUGAAAAAGCCCAACUAAGACCUACAAAGCAGAGACUAGCCCUCGUACCUUUUGCAUCAUGAUUUAGCAAGUACCCGCAAGCGAAGAGCCCUUAAGUUUGCACCCCCGAAACUAGGCGAGCUACUCCGAGACAGCCUGUGCAGGGCAAACCCGUCUCUGUGGCAAAAGAGUGGGACGAGCUCCGAGUAGAGGUGAUAGACCUACCGAGCCUAGUUAUAGCUGGUUGCCUGGGAGAUGAAUAGUAGUUCAGCCUUUUGUUUGCUCCACCCAACUCCGGGUUUACCCAGACUACAGGUCAACAGCAAGCAAGAGAGAUAUUCGAGGGAGGGACAGCUCUCUCGAACGUAGAUACAACUUUGCUGGCAGGUUAAGGACUAAAUAGGCUAAGGAGAGCACUUAAGUGGGCCCAAAAGCAGCCACCUUAGCGGAAAGCGUUAAAGCUCAAGUGUACAAACCCCCCUCAUUCCAGAAGUCAACUCUUAAGCCCCCUAGUAUACCAGGCCUUUCCAUACCCCUAUGGAAGAGAAACUGCUAAUAUGAGUAACAAGAAAGCUAAGCCUUUCUCCUUGCCCACGUGUAGUCAGAACGGACCCCAACUGAAAGUUAACGCCCCCAAUUAUAGAGGGUAUCGGGUUAUUCUCUUUCGUUGACAGGAUAAGCCCUCGAACAUAAGCGUUGGCCCUACACCGGUGGGCCUAAGGAAAGACAAAAGGGAAAAGAAGGAACUCGGCAAACAUUCAGCCUCGCCUGUUUACCAAAAACAUCGCCUCUUGCACUCAUUGUAUAAGAGGUCCCGCCUGCCCUGUGACAUAAGUUUAACGGCCGCGGUAUUUUGACCGUGCGAAGGUAGCGUAAUCACUUGUCUUUUAAAUGAAGACCUGUAUGAAUGGCAUAACGAGGGCUGAGCUGUCUCCUUUCCCCAGUCAGUGAAGUUGAUCUGCCCGUGCAGAAGCGGGCAUGUUUACGUAAGACGAGAAGACCCUAUGGAGCUUAAGACAACAGGCGGACUGCGUUAAAGAAGCCCCACCAAGGGCUACAAACUCAGCAGGCACCGUCGUGCUGUCUUUGGUUGGGGCGACCACGGGGAAGCACCAAACCCCCGAGAAGAACUGGACGAAACCUCCCAAGGCAAGAGCCACAGCUCUACCCACCAGAACAUCUGACUUAUAAGAUCCGGCAAAGCCGAUCAACGGACCCAGUUACCCUAGGGAUAACAGCGCAAUCCUCUUCUAGAGCCCAUAUCGACAAGGGGGUUUACGACCUCGAUGUUGGAUCAGGACAUCCUAAUGGUGCAGCCGCUAUUAAGGGUUCGUUUGUUCAACGAUUAAAGUCCU
This 1496-nucleotide ribosomal RNA is filed under the name Barbulifer ceuthoecus (bearded goby). RNAcentral describes it as "partial 16S ribosomal RNA". It matches the Rfam family "Bacterial large subunit ribosomal RNA", at positions 354 to 2597 of the family's 2925-position model. The record is from RNAcentral. Lineage: Eukaryota; Metazoa; Chordata; Actinopteri; Gobiiformes; Gobiidae.